Molecule: RNase P RNA, 380 nt
Filed under: Lentisphaerota bacterium
Lineage: Bacteria; Pseudomonadati; Lentisphaerota
Description: Lentisphaerae bacterium (hot springs metagenome) RNase P RNA component class A
Rfam family: Bacterial RNase P class A
About the family: Ribonuclease P (RNase P) is a ubiquitous endoribonuclease, found in archaea, bacteria and eukarya as well as chloroplasts and mitochondria. Its best characterised activity is the generation of mature 5'-ends of tRNAs by cleaving the 5'-leader elements of precursor-tRNAs.
Source: RNAcentral
UGACGGGAGCGAUUGGUCGCCCCGGCGGCGAGCCGGGGAGGAAAGUCCGGGCUCCACAGGGCAGGGUGUCCGGGCGAUGUCAAAGCCCGGAAGUCCUCUGCGAUAUCGGAGGACAUGGAUAGUGCCACAGAGAACAUACCGCCGAACGGCGCUCUUGCGGGCGCCGUGGCAAGGGUGAAAAGGUGGUGUAAGAGACCACCGGACCUGGAGCGAUCCAGGUUGCAAGGCAAACCCCCCCGGAGCAAGAUCAAAUAGGGAAUCGGAGGCGGCCCGCCUCAUCCGGAGCGGCGACGCUUCGGACGGUUCCGGGUAGAUCGCUCAGAGAAAUGACCGACACUUGAAAAAGUGAACAGAACCCGGCUUACGACUUCCGUCAGUUG